UACGAAAGGCGCAAGUAUUAAACAUAUGAUUUGGUGUAAAGUGUUUUUAAUUACCUUUUAGUGAGGUGGUAGGAUGGUAUAUUGUGUAGUAUACAAAAGUUUAAAUUUAUUGUUUAAGAAUGUAUUUUAUACCAUAUUACUAGAGUAAAGUAGAGGGCAACAGAAUAUCAUUUCAGUAUAGGGUAAAAUCUUGUGAUGAUAGAAUGCCAGUCGCGAAAGCGGUUGCCUGGGCUUUUACAUGACGUUUUAAAAAACGAAAAGCGUUUGGGGAGCAAACAAGG
RNAcentral lists this ribosomal RNA (281 nucleotides) under uncultured bacterium. RNAcentral's name for it is "partial 16S ribosomal RNA". The stretch from base 73 to 246 matches the Rfam family "Bacterial small subunit ribosomal RNA", at positions 574 to 747 of the family's 1533-position model. The record is from RNAcentral.